AGUGAACGCUGGCGGCGUGCUUAAUACAUGCAAGUCGAACGAUGAAGUCCUAGCUUGCUAGGAUGGAUUAGUGGCGCACGGGUGAGUAAUAUAUAGUUAAUCUGCCUUGCACUGAGGAACAACAGUUGGAAACGAUUGCUAAUACCUCAUACUCCAACUUUACAUAAGUUAAGUUGGGAAAGUCUUUUCGGUGCAAGAUGAGACUAUAUCGUAUCAGCUAGUUGGUAAGGUAAUGGCUUACCAAGGCUAUGACGCGUAACUGGUCUGAGAGGAUGAUCAGUCACAUUGGAAAUGAGACACGGUCCAAACUCCUACGGGAGGCAGCAGUAAGGAAUAUUGUGCAAUGGGGGAAACCCUGACGCAGCAACGCCGCGUGGAGGAUGACACUUUUCGGAGCGUAAACUCCUUUUGUUAGGGAAGAAUAAUGACGGUACCUAACGAAUAAGCACCGGCUAACUCCGUG
Molecule: ribosomal RNA, 463 nt
Filed under: uncultured bacterium
Lineage: Bacteria
Description: partial 16S ribosomal RNA
Rfam family: Bacterial small subunit ribosomal RNA
Source: RNAcentral